AAAAUCCGUCGACUUUAGAAAUCGUGAGGGUUCAAGUCCCUCUAUCCCCAAAAAGCCCAUUUGACUCCCUAACUAUUUAUCCACUCCC
This 88-nucleotide transfer RNA is filed under the name Aucuba japonica. Its description in RNAcentral is "partial tRNA-Leu". Lineage: Eukaryota; Viridiplantae; Streptophyta; Magnoliopsida; Garryales; Garryaceae. The record is from RNAcentral.